UGGGGAAUUUUGGACAAUGGGCGAAAGCCUGAUCCAGCAAUGCCGCGUGUGUGAAGAAGGCCUUCGGGUUGUAAAGCACUUUUGUCCGGAAAGAAAUCCUUGGCUCUAAUACAGUCGGGGGAUGACGGUACCGGAAGAAUAAGCACCGGCUAACUACGUGCCAGCAGCCGCGGUAAUACGUAGGGUGCAAGCGUUAAUCGGAAUUACUGGGCGUAAAGCGUGCGCAGGCGGUUUGCUAAGACCGAUGUGAAAUCCCGGGCUCAACCUGGGAACUGCAUUGGUGACUGGCAGGCUAGAGUAUGGCAGAGGGGGGUAGAAUUCCACGUGUAGCAGUGAAAUGCGUAGAGAUGUGGAGGAAUACCGAUGGCGAAGGCAGCCCCCUGGGCCAAUACUGACGCUCAUGCACGAAAGCGUGGGGAGCAAACAGGAUUAGAUACCCUGGUAGUCCACGCCCUAAACGAUGUCAACUAGUUGUUGGGGAUUCAUUUCCUUAGUAACGUAGCUAACGCGUGAAGUUGACCGCCUGGGGAGUACGGUCGCAAGAUUAAAACUCAAAUGAAUUGAC
This 565-nucleotide ribosomal RNA is filed under the name uncultured bacterium. RNAcentral's name for it is "partial 16S ribosomal RNA". It matches the Rfam family "Bacterial small subunit ribosomal RNA", at positions 355 to 914 of the family's 1533-position model. The record is from RNAcentral.